Long non-coding RNA from Nerophis lumbriciformis (worm pipefish), 5768 nucleotides. RefSeq lists it as uncharacterized. The record is from RefSeq and is a predicted model, not a curated record. Lineage: Eukaryota; Metazoa; Chordata; Actinopteri; Syngnathiformes; Syngnathidae.
CUUCUUGUUCUUCAAGGAUUUGGCUGAGCUGAGACUAAGGCAACGAGCUUGCACCACGGCAGCACAGUAGACACACUUCACUGCAUUUUACUGAUGUCAUAUGGGGGCUAUUUCUUCGUCAAUCUGAGUCAGGCCUGCAUUACACAGACCGUGGUUAGGCUUGAAGAAACGGCCUCAAACAGCGGAUUCUGUCACUGAGAGCCUCAGAUUCCUCUGCCGGAAACCGAUGAGGAGUAUAUUGCCUCUCUUGAACGCGCAGGAUGGAGGACAUUUACCAUGGCAACCACUAAUGCAGUAUAGAUGCAAGGACUGAGCCUUGUCUGCCACUGCAAUAAUACAAGAUUCAUUGAAGCCAGGGUGAAAUGUCAUCGGGGCUGUCGUUUUAAAUUACCCAGAAUUGCAUUUGAUGUCUGCACUUUUGUCAAUGGAAAAUCUCACUUGCAAUGGAUAGAAGGGUAUUUUACCCUGUAUUUGCUAAAUUUUGCAACAUACCCUGCCUUAGUGCCUCUGUAUACAGUAGAGUGUAAUGUAUCAUGCACUAAAGAACCACUUCAUCUCUCUUGUUUUUCAAUUCAGCAGUAUUGUCGGUCAUAUUGUUUCCCACAUCUCCCAUCCACAUAAUCCGUCCUUUGGCAGAGUCAAAUCCGAUUUUUACACUGUUCCCCCCUGCACACUUCUAAAAUGUGAUUUUGGUAUCAUCCUCCUUCACACGCUGGAUUACAACUGGACCUCUUUCAAAAGUAGCACCUAAGUGAUGGGCACUCACCUUGGAAGGAAGCCAAGUUUAGCCUGUUUUUUACUGUUCAACAUUCAGGUUCUGAUUAAUUGGAGCUGGAGGUAGCUCACAAAAGCCACUAAACGGAUAGAAUAAGAGGGACUUUGCGAAAAACAACAUAAUAACAUACCGGUAUGUCAAAAGCAAGAAAAAGGUGAGGAAAUUUGACAAAUUUAUAUUUUCCUUAUUGGAUGGUUGAAUUAUUUUCAAUGUUUAAACAUACCCAGUAGAAUAAAAUAGUUGUUGAUUUAAGCCAGGAGUGUCCACACUAAGAUAUGCUAACAAGUUAUAUUCAGGUGAUUGAAGGCCUGAUCUACUAAAGGUUUCCGUGUAUCAAAACAAGUGCAAACUUGAUAUCAUACGCAAAGCCGAUUUACUAAACUUGCGCGCAGAGGAUUGUGUCUCUUAAGUGAGCAAAAUAAGGUGUGCAAUCCAUUUAGCAUGUCUGUCUUCAUGAAUAAGCAGAAAAUAUUCUGAUCAUCAGAACACCCACAAUAUAAGGGGAAGGAGUUGCAAAUAUUAACAUUAAACACGUGCAAUGUGAUUAAUCAAGGCUGAUCACUGUUCUGCGGGUGCUAUCUUGCGUCUUUAUUUAGCACGUCUGAAAAGUAUGUGCAAACAGACAUAGUUACACACAUGGCUGUGAGAAAAGAGUUGCUCGUGCUGCAAAGACAGACCACGGACAGACAUGUUUGGACUCCCAUAAAAAAUAAAAAAAAUAGAUAUUGUCUAUUAAGCAAUAUAAUUUUAUAAGUUAACCGCUGCUGGAUGACUUAAGGGGUUGAUUAAAACAAAUUCAAUUGAUGCAUUUUGGUGUCUGCUGGCAGUUUUUUUUAAUACUGUUUGUUUUUAGGGGGGGAAAUAUAUUAUUAUAAUAUACCCCCUGUAUGAAAAUAUGUCGUUCAAUAAGAAUGUUUUUUUUUUGGAUAAUUCUAGACAGAUGCAUGCGCUGGAGUUGUUAUGGUCCACCGCAUCCCUGCAGCACUUCAGCGCGCUAAAACAGUUUUUGUUGUCUGUAGAUUGUGAUUCUAUAUUACGGAAAAGGUGUUACAGAUUAUAGAUGUGUGCUGUUAAUUCAACAGUGCAUUGAGAGAUCAAUAAAAUGAACGUGGCGAGGGCACAUAAUGCCAGUAUUACACGCAAAAACCUCAUUUAAAUAGGGGGGUCUGCAACACUUUUCAUUUGUACACACAGUCUUAAUAGAUCACACGCAACCCACAACACUAAUAGUACACGCAAUUUUUAAGUUUGCACACUCUGUUUAGCGCGUGGUAUCCUGGAUCUUAGUAAGUCAAGCCCAAAGUGUAUUUCUAUCAACAUUUUUGGGCCAAAUCGAUGCCCUUUGCUUGUUGAAGGGGCUGUUUGCAGGGCGUUAACAUUCUAAAGUGUUGUAAGCAUGAUAUCCCGUCUUUUACAACGUAAAUCACGCCUCAUGUAACACACACACACACAAACAUUAGCUAUGUGUGUUGUCAGCUAAUGAUAACAAUUUGACAAGGCUACUAUUGUUAGCCGUCAUUGAAUGUAUAUUCCAGUGUAACAAUAACGUGACUCCAAAUUGGUUAUUGUUUUGCUUUUUGGUAUUUGCACUAGGGCUGCAGCUAUUGAUUAUUUGGUAACACUUUAGUAUGUGGAACAUAGUCACCAUUAAUUAGUUCCUUAUUAACAUGCAAAUUAGUAACAUAUUGGCUCUUAAUUAGUCAUUAUUAAGUACUUAUUAAUGCCUUACACUAACCCUAACCCUCUAACCCCUAACCCUCUAAACCUAACCCUAACUCUAAAUGAAGUCUGUGUUACCUACAAUAUGUUCCCCUAGUGUCCAAAUAACUCUCAAUUGAGCAUUUGUUACUUAGAAUAUGUUCCCCAUACUAAAGUGCUACCGAUUAUUUUAGUAAUCAAAUAAUUGAUCGAUUAGUUUGUCUGAUUAAUUGAGCAAUCAGAUAAAACACUUUAUAGCCUCAAUGCACAUUUUAGGUAAAAUAGUUGAUGAUUUUCUGUUCAUUCUUUUUCUUUCUUAUAAAUUAUAAAACACUGAAAAUGCAAUUUUCUAAUAUGUGCAUUGGUAAAUAUAAUAACUAAAAACUCUGUUGUUCACCACCACACAGAUCACAGCACAGCACCCACACCCACCAUCAUGUGCGUUCAAUUGUAGUGGCCGUGCGGAAAUUAUUUAUGCAUAUUUAAAGUUCUGCAACCCAUGUGGUCGGAUUUUAUCAAUUCUUAUUACUUGCGCUGAUUAAACAAUAAAUCAAAACAACAGAUUAUCAAUCAAAGCUUUUUUCUAAUAAUCAAAUGAAUCGAUUAAUCAUUUCAGCUUUAAUGUGCAAGCACUGCGGGUGUGUACGGGUGUACGAGACAGUGCUAAAUGACAGCCUUAAUGACAGACAAAUCCUUCAGGAAGAAGAAAACAGUUUUUAUUUAUUAUAAGUAGUCAUUGUGGAAAAAUACAGACAUUUCUAAAAUAUGUAUAUGUUCUAUGAAUGUGUAUUGGCCUAUCCUGGGCAAAAAAAAAAAUUGUACAAGGUUUCUUUGGUGACGUGACUCAUUUGAGUAACAGGACUGAAGGUAACAGGAGUGAGUUUUUAGCAUAGCAUUAGCAAAUACAUGGAAUAUAGCCACGUGGCAUUUAUGCUAACAGCACGUUGAUGCUAAGCGCAUGACAGUGAUUCAGAAAAAAAAAGAAGAAAAAAAACAUUUAAAAAAAUAAUACAUUAAAUAUUAGCUAGAAAUGCAGUCAUCCCUGCCCACAUUACGCUUCAAAGUUUGCGCAUUACUCUAUCGUACAUUUUUUAAAGUAUAUUCUAUGUAUUUUUUGCCGAAAUUGAGCGUUUUCAAGCAUAAAAAUGGCUGAAUGAACUAAAAGUAUCAGUACUACAGUAGCAUUGCCACUAGAUGAGACGAAUUCGAUCAGAGUGCGUUGUUCCACUGAUUGGCUCAGCCUCAGGCAACAUUACUGUACUGGAUUAAAUUAGUGUAAAGGUGACUAAAGGGUGUUAUUUAAUGUGUACAGGGCUCUCAAAAUGAUUAAAAAAAAACAUAUUAAAAAGGUGGUAAAAAAUAGCGAUGAAAAUAUGCUAUUUGUAGUUAAUAAUUUCUACAUGGUGGAAAUGUAUUUGACACGUUCAAGCCCUCAAGCAAUUAAAAAGCGAUGACCAAGAGUUUACUGUAAAGAUAUAUGGAAUAACACAACUAUGUUAAAAAAACAAAACAUUUCUGAAGGAUUCCAAUUGUUAUAUUUUAUCGUGAAGUUUAAUUUUACUGCUUGCAGGCAACAAAAGCUAGUUUUCCAGCGUUUAGGGUAGUUAAAUUUAAUCUUUAAAUUGUAUUUACUAAAUAAGCAGUCCGAUCAAAGUGCAGAACACUUUUCUUCAUUAAAAAAUGUUUUAUGCUAUAAUGCCUUAUACAUUUUAUUUGCUAAAAAGCACCAAUUCAGUGGAAUGGCCUUUCUACAUGUUCUCAUUACUUUAGGCCUUUUUUUUCCCACCUUUUUUGCUGUUUUUAAUUUUAGAAUGUGCCAUGAUCCAAUAAUGGUUGCACUUUGGACACCCCUAAUUUAAGAUCGCUUACCAAUACAAUCCAAUACAGUCCACUAUAAAAUUAUAUAGCACAUUUCAAAAAUAAAAAAAAGUUUCACAAAGUGCUGAACAUACAAAAUUAGUGAAAUCUAAUUUAUUUAUUUUUUAAUCAGAAUAAUCUUACUUUUGAAUUUGUUUUUAUCAUUAUUAAUCACAGGUUAUUAUUUGCUUGCAACAUCUAAAUUAACUUAAAAAAGAGCCCAAAAUGCUAUUUUAUUGUCAGAAUGUCAUAAAUAAACACUUUUUUAAGUUUUACUAAAAUGCAUGUCAUGUAUUUGCUCACAGCUUGAUAACAGUUGUAUCUAAAUUCCCAUCGGGGUUUAUUUUGAAGUGAAAUUUGCCAGCGAGCACAACAGUGGGAGUCUUCUCAUUCAUAUUCGCAAUGUAAACAUCCACAUUUAAAGUAAAGCAGCUCGUGUGGUUGAAACGAAUGGUGUGAUUAAGCUGCACAUAUACAUGAUUAAUGCAAUAUUUUUUUUGUGGUUAAUCGCAUGAGUCAACUUACAUUUGCAUUUGGUCCCAUUUGUCUAAAAAGCCUUUGUAGAAGCAUCUUUCAAAUUGUUUUAACAAGUUGAGCCAUUUAUAUUGUGCAUCCAUUGUUUAGCCAUUAUCAAGAAGGCUGCAAUCCUUUGCAGGAGUGUCAGUCCAAAACAAACAUUCCUUCAAAGAUGUUCUGACCUGCUGCUACAGUUGUUCUAUGUAAGUGUGUGUGCGUGUGUGUGUAAGUGUGUUUUGUCUGCCCCCAUCUAUAGCUGUGUCCAGCCCCUCUCUUUCACAGUUAGAGAAAAGAACCACACUCCUUGGGGCCUUAGUUUGCUGCAUACGUGUGUAGUGUUCCACUCUCUUGGGAUUUCUUUUAGCCAUAUUCGUGCUUGCAUGAAGCUAUUUGUGACAGCCAUCAUUAUACCGUGCAUGCAGUACAUCUGUAAAAGAGAAGUUCUAUAAACAGCGUCAAAGAAAAUGCAUUAUGUUAUACAAAUACACCCUCAUACUUCUAUAUAUUCUCUGCCUCUUUACAUAUGGAGGUAUAGCACAGAACAAAAAAGCCCAAAACCCCUAACUCUAACCCCAAACUUAACCUUACCCUACCCGCAACUGAAAAUGUGAAGCAGAAGAAAACUUGUAUUUCUUUGUCUUUGGUAAUAUUUGUUCAUUCAUCAGUUUUUCUUCGGUUAAUACUCAAUGAUGUUGGAUGAGACGGUCUAUUGGCUCACUGUUAUAUCCUAAAGGUGUUAGACGGGGUCUCAUCCAAGGAUUUGAUUCGAGCAUUAGGGCCACGGAACACAUAAGGGCCUUCUCAAAAUGUUUACCCAAAUUGUCAUAAUAAUAAGAUUCAUACUGUAAUUACUUACCUCGUUUGCUUUUCCAACAGACUUAAGAUUCCCUUGCCCCUGUUGAGGAGCAAUGCUGGACUUCCG